UAGGGAAUCUUCGGCAAUGGGGGCAACCCUGACCGAGCAACGCCGCGUGAGUGAAGAAGGUUUUCGGAUCGUAAAGCUCUGUUGUAAGAGAAGAACGUGUGUGAGAGUGGAAAGUUCACACAGUGACGGUAACUUACCAGAAAGGGACGGCUAACUACGUGCCAGCAGCUGCGGUAAUACGUAGGUCCCGAGCGUUGUCCGGAUUUAUUGGGCGGAAAGCGAGCGCAGGCGGUUUAAUAAGUCUGAAGUUAAAGGCAGGGGCUUAACCAUUGUUCGGUUUGGAAACAGUUAAACUUGAGUGCAGAAGGGGAGAGUGGAAUUCCAUGUGUGGCGGGGAAAUGCGUAGGUAUAUGGGAGAACACCGGUGGCGAAAGCGGCUCUCUGGUCUGUAACUGACGCUGAGGCUCGAAAGCGUGGGGAGCAAACAGG
Molecule: ribosomal RNA, 429 nt
Filed under: bacterium
Lineage: Bacteria
Description: partial 16S ribosomal RNA
Rfam family: Bacterial small subunit ribosomal RNA
Source: RNAcentral